CCCUUAGAUGUCCGGGGCCGCACGCGCGCUACACUGAAGGAAUCAGCGUGGCUUUCUCCCUGAUCCGAAAGGGUUGGGAAACCCGUUGAAUCUCCUUCGUGAUAGGGAUUGGGGCUUGAAAUUGUUCCCCAUGAACGAGGAAUUCCCAGUAAGCGCGAGUCAUAAGCUCGCGUUGAUUACGUCCCUGCCCUUUGUACACACCGCCCGUCGCUACUACCGAUUGAACGGUUUAGUGAGGGCCUCGGAUUGGUCUCGGCCCGCUCUUUACCGGGCGGCGCCGUUGGUCGAGAAGACGCUCGAACUUGAUCGUUUAGAGGAAGUAAAAGUCGUAACA
RNAcentral lists this ribosomal RNA (334 nucleotides) under uncultured eukaryote. RNAcentral's name for it is "partial 18S ribosomal RNA". It matches the Rfam family "Eukaryotic small subunit ribosomal RNA", at positions 1470 to 1796 of the family's 1831-position model. The record is from RNAcentral.